GAGGGUAGAGCUCAGUGGUAGAGUGCGUGCUUAGCAUGCACGAUGUCCUGGGUUCAAUCCCCAGCACCUCCA
RNAcentral lists this transfer RNA (72 nucleotides) under Camelus bactrianus (Bactrian camel). It matches the Rfam family "tRNA". Rfam says of the family: Transfer RNA (tRNA) molecules are approximately 80 nucleotides in length. Their secondary structure includes four short double-helical elements and three loops (D, anti-codon, and T loops). Further hydrogen bonds mediate the characteristic L-shaped molecular structure. tRNAs have two regions of fundamental functional importance: the anti-codon, which is responsible for specific mRNA codon recognition, and the 3' end, to which the tRNAs corresponding amino acid is attached (by aminoacyl-tRNA synthetases). tRNAs cope with the degeneracy of the genetic code in two manners: having more than one tRNA (with a specific anti-codon) for a particular amino acid; and 'wobble' base-pairing, i.e. permitting non-standard base-pairing at the 3rd anti-codon position. Lineage: Eukaryota; Metazoa; Chordata; Mammalia; Artiodactyla; Camelidae. RNAcentral also lists the same sequence under 2 other names. The record is from Rfam by way of RNAcentral.